GACGAACGCUGGCGGCGUGCUUAACACAUGCAAGUCGAACGGAAAGGCCCUGCUUUUGUGGGGUGCUCGAGUGGCGAACGGGUGAGUAACACGUGAGUAACCUGCCCUUGACUUUGGGAUAACUUCAGGAAACUGGGGCUAAUACCGGAUAGGAGCUCCUGCUGCAUGGUGGGGGUUGGAAAGUUUCGGCGGUUGGGGAUGGACUCGCGGCUUAUCAGCUUGUUGGUGGGGUAGUGGCUUACCAAGGCUUUGACGGGUAGCCGGCCUGAGAGGGUGACCGGACAAAUUGGGACUGAGAUACGGCGCAGUCUCCUACGGGAGGCAGGAGUGGGGAAUAUUGCACAAUGGGCGGAAGCCUGCUGCGGCGACGCCGCGUGCCGGAUGACGGCCUUCGGGUUGUAGACCGCUUUCGGCUGUGACGAAGCGGGAGUGACGGUAAUGGGUAAAGAAGCACCGGCUAACUACGUG
Molecule: ribosomal RNA, 468 nt
Filed under: uncultured bacterium
Lineage: Bacteria
Description: partial 16S ribosomal RNA
Rfam family: Bacterial small subunit ribosomal RNA
Source: RNAcentral